This 4877-nucleotide long non-coding RNA is filed under the name Canis lupus familiaris (dog). RNAcentral's name for it is "lncRNA (ENSCAFG00030016811.1)". Lineage: Eukaryota; Metazoa; Chordata; Mammalia; Carnivora; Canidae. The record is from RNAcentral.
GAAGAUCUAUUCCUUCUUGAAAGACCUGGGCCAUGGCUGUCCAAGUCUUCCUAGGUGUCAUCAUUCACUAUAAUAUUUCUCAUCAAUCAGUUACCGUCCUAAAAGGAUCAGCUGAAGGCCAUCAAUUGCAUCGAACAUCCUAAGAAGAAAGAAUCACACCUGGCCAGCAUCCUAAUAGUGAGCAACCUUUCUGCUUUCCUCAAGAGUCAACAGAAAAAGAUGAAGACUCUGACACUGCUGGCAUGCAUUUGUGCACUGACUGCUUGCUUCUCACUCUGUGAAGGUUGGAAAAAGCAAGGGAAAAUACAUCACAAAAGGAAUAAUGUCCAACAAUAUACAGUAGACCGCCGAUUACCAACUCAUCUCAAAUUUCACCCUAACUGGAAUAUAUUAAUUCAAAAGCAUUUAAUUUUUGGUCCACACAGAUACCCAAAGCUUCCAAAUCCAAACAGAAGAAAACCAAAGCCGAACCGUCCCCAGCCACCUAAGUGUCCAACUAAAACUAACACCGUUGUCAACAAUAGCACCUCAGAGGCCAACAUUCAAAUCCCAUCUUUGAGUCCCAUAACUACUUCCAACAAAAUUGUUACAUCUCCAGGUGUGACUUCUACUAAUAAUGCUUCCACCAUAUCUCAAAAAGAAGAUACCGAUACAGGCCCUUCUGCAGCUACCCCAUCAACACAACCUUCCCCCACCCUGCCAGACACCACAGCUGCCCCACCUACAUCUUCCCUAACUACACCAGCACCACAACCUUCCUCACCUGUACUGGACCACACAACUGCCCCAAAUACCACACCUAAUCCUUCCCCAACCACUCCUGCUUCUCCAACUUCCAAAACUACAACUGCACCCACCACCCAAACUACUACUCCAGCCACUACUCUAACUACUUCUGUUGAACAAACAACCUCACCUUCCAGCCAAAAUGCAAAUUCUCAAUUCUGGCAAUAUAUUUAUGAGUUAAUAAAGUACAUUUCUGGUAUUACACCAAAGAAAUAGUACAUCAUACAUUAUGAAGUGUUCUGUUGUCAGACAUGAGUUAUGAGUUACUUUUGUCACCAAUCUCAAAGUGAAAUAGCAAUAUUCUUCAAAUUUAAAGCACUAUCACUAAUCUUUGAAUCUAUUUACCUCACAUGACUUAUUAACAAGAAAAACCACCUCUAUCUCACAAAACAAGUGCAUAACUUUAAUAGAUCACUUUGUGGAACCUAUAGAGACAGCCCUCUGAGGGGGGAAAAGACAUUAACUAAACAGACAAAAUUACAUGGAUCAGGAAACAUUGAUUUUUCCCUAAAUGAUGGAAACCAUAAGGUCACUAUUCUAUAUCCUCAACCAAGAACUCACCUGAAUUGUCUAAUCCCACAAAUAUAAAGGGAUGAUAUCAUGUCUCUCAAACAAAAACAUGUAAAUAUAGAUUAACCUAUAUUGUAGGUUAAUCAUUGUAUUACUGGUUAGAGACAAAAAUUCUUUAAACAAUCAUCCUAAAGCCUUAAAUCCAAUUCCAUUCCACAAAAUGUGAACCAAGGAAGGGAAAGUUGAUUUGAAGUGAAGAUUUGAAGUUAGUGAAAAUGAAAUCUGGCAGCCAAGCACAAACCAGGUCCCUGGCACUAUGUAUUUGAGAGCAUAUGAUUGUUUAGACGUAUGGUUGAUUUUAAUUGUAUUAUAUCUAAGUUAAUUUGCAUCCAAUGUACUUGAUUCUAGCCUCUGUGAAUCACAAAAAACUUUUUGUGUAUGUUCACAUGGUGGUAAUAAUAUUUUACUAUGAAUUCAAUUAAUUUCAUCUUACUAAUUCAAUUAAUUCAAUGUGAAAUGUAUUCAGCAGCAGAAUAUUUUCUAAAACUUUUAGCCAUACAUUUAAAUGUGUUUUAAAGCAAACCAUACUAAACUACUACCCUGGUGUUACAUUUGCAAAACUGUCUCUGAAAAUAAACCCUGAUUGUAGUCAAUAGGAGAAUAACAACUAUCUACUUGGUAUAGAGAGAUAAUGUUAAUUUGGGAUGUGAAGGUAUUUUUACUUUGUUUUACUACUACUGAGAACUCUAAUGAUUUUAUUUAGAUUUUUUGUCAAAUAAUAAAGACUUCUCAUGGCAAUCUGUUUUCACUGCGUGUAUCUGCAAGCCCCUUAUCACUUAGAUUCUGAGAAGGGUGAAAAUGAACGUCUGCAUUUUUGUCAACUCUACCACCAAUUAGCCAAUGACCAAACCAUCCCCAGCCACCUAAGUGUCCAGCUAAAAAUAACACUGUUUUUUAGGUAGGACACUCAAUAUCUCUGAACACUGGGGGUUUUAAUCCUUUAAACAAAGUGGUUAAUUUACUUAGAUUAACUUAAUCUUUACUUAUUUUUAACUUACAAAUACAUUUCCAAUCCAAAUUCUGUGUUUGCCCUGUGCUUCCAGACUGACAAUAAAAGACCCCUAUUCCUUUCACUUAAUUCUGUUCCUUCGGUUUCAUCUCAGACUAGCUUAAAAGGAACUAUCAGAAAGAGAAAUUAAGAAAACAAUUCCAUUUACAAUUGCAUCAGAAAUAAUAAAUCACCUAGGAAUAAAUUUAACAAGGAGGUGAAAGAACUGUACACUGAAAACUGUCAGACACUGAUGAAAGAAACUGAAGAAGACACAAAUAAAUGAAAAGAUAUGCCCUGCUCAUGAAGUGAAAAAUUAAUAUUGUUAAGAUGUCUAUCCUACCCAAAGGAAUCUGCAUACUCAAUGCAAUCUUUGUCAACGUUCUAGUGGCAUUUUUCAUAAAAAUAGAAAAAACAAUUCUAAAUUUGUACGAAGCCAAAAAAGAUUCUGAAUAGCCAAGCAACCUUGAGAAAGUAAAACAAAGCUAGAGGAAUCACACUUUAUUUCAAACUAUAUUACAAAGUUACACUAAUUAAAGGUAAUGGUACAAACAGACACAUAGAUCAAUGAAACAAAAUAGAGAAUCCAGAAAUAAACACACAUAUGUUUGGUCAAUUAACUUAGAACAAAGGAGCCAAGAAUAUACAAAGGGGAAAGGAUAGUCUUUUCAGUAAAUGGCGUUGGAAGAACUGGACACUUAUAUUCAAAAGAAUGAAACUGAAACACCACUAUCUUACACCAUAUACAAAAACCAACUCGAAAUGUAUUAAAGACUUUCAUAUAAGACCUGAAACCAUAAAACUCCUAGAAGAAGACAUGGGGGUAAAAUCUUUGACAUUGAUCUUGACAACAAUUUUUUUUGGAUUUGAUAUCAAAAAAAUAAAAAGCAAAACUAAGCAAGUGAUACAACAUCAAACUAAAAAGAUACACAGAAAAUGAAACCAUCAACAAAAUGAAAAGGCGACCUAUGGCCGAGAGAAAAUAUUUACAAAUCAUAUCUGAUAAGGGGUUAAUAUCCAAAGUAUAUAAAGAACUCCUACAAUUAAUAAAGAAAAAAAUCUGAUUUAAAAAUGGACAUAACUGAAAAGACAUUUUUCUGUAAAAGACAUACAAAUGUCCAAUAGGUAUAUAAAAGUCACUCAACACAACUGAUUAUGAGGAAAUGCAAAUCAAAACCACAAUGAGGGGCACUUGAGUGGUUCAGUUGGUUAACAGUGUGCCUUUGGCGCAGGUCAUGAUCUCAGGGUCCUGAGAUGAAGCCCCACAUCAGGCUCCCUGCUCAGCAUGGAGUCUGCUUGUUCCUCUCCCUCUGCCCCUCCCCUCCACUCAUGAGUGCAUACACAUGCACCUUUGAUUUGUGUCAAUAUGGAAGAAAUAUAAUUUCCAAUACCUGCAUUCUUCCUAGGGAGAAACUCCAGGACAAGUAGAGUUGGUUGGGUCUCAGGUGCCAGGGUGAUAUGUCCCAUCCAAAGCAGCUCAGAGCCCAAAAAAUAAUUGAACACAAGCCACAGGUCUUAUAUAGGGGCAAGGCAGGUGGUGUUGUGAAGAUAUGGAAACCAAGGUCAUUCAAAAUCACAAGAGCAGAAGCACAGGGUCCAGACCUGGUAAAAAACUGGAAUGGAAUAGAUUGAGAGAAAAGGAAAGAAUGGGUUGAAAUGCUUUGAAAAUUAGACUGACUCUUGUUUUUUAUAACCUUCUAGCACAAAUACAUGAGCUGGUCAUCCUGGCUUAAUAGUACAGAUGUGCUGUGUAAAAAAUGACCUAUUUAUUCCUAAUCUACAUAAAUAGAACACACUCCCUAGAUGUUUUCAGUUUUACUAAUAAAAUAGAACCUAGAAACUUUUGCAGUCUGUUAUUGUCUUUCAACAAAAUGAAGAUGAAAUAAGGAAGUACAUAUUUACUAUCUAAAAAUGUUUUAUGAGUUUGAUACAGUACAGUGUGCAGUCUUUAGUACUGAAUAUAUCAUGUCUCCAAAACCUAGGUUCUAAACAGGCUGUAGUUUCCAAAUUUUUGUAAGACUUCCACAAACUUAACCUAUUUUCAUAUUCAACAAUUUCAUUCCUUCUCCUCAACCCGUGUCCUCCCUGAGAGAAUUCCAGCCAAUUUUACAAGAGGCAACCAAAGAAAUAUUCUCCUGUGACUUCAACCAACAGGUUAAAAAUUAUAUAAACUUUUUAAAGAAAUGACCAACAGCAAAGAACAGUGCCACCCUGGGUGGCUCAGUUGGUUCAACAUCUGCCUUGGCUCAGGUCAUGAUCCCAGGGUCCCAGGAUCGAGCCCUGUGUUGGGCUCCCUGCUCAGCAGGAAGUCUGCUUCAACCUCUCCCUCUGCCCCCACCCUGCUCAGGCAUGUGCUCUCUCUCUCUAUUUCUCUCAGUGAAUAAAAAUCUUUAAAAAAAUCUUCGAAAAGACAAACAAUCUCGAAGUAAAAGAGAAAUGAUACAGAAAAAAAAGCCCUAAAACACAUUUAGUGUAAUUAGAGAAUAUUAAAAAACAAGAGAAAACUAAAAGCUUUCAAAAGAAAGAAAAAAAU